CACAUGCAGUCGAGCGAGACCUUCGGGUCUAGCGGCGGACGGGUUAGUAACGCGUGGGAACGUGCCCUUCUCUGCGGAAUAGCCACUGGAAACGGUGAGUAAUACCGCAUACGCCCUUCGGGGGAAAGAUUUAUCGGAGAAGGAUCGGCCCGCGUUAGAUUAGAUAGUUGGUGGGGUAACGGCCUACCAAGUCUACGAUCUAUAGCUGGUUUUAGAGGAUGAUCAGCAACACUGGGACUGAGACACGGCCCAGACUCCUACGGGAGGCAGCAGUGGGGAAUCUUAGACAAUGGGCGCAAGCCUGAUCUAGCCAUGCCGCGUGUGUGAUGAAGGUCUUAGGAUCGUAAAGCACUUUCGCCAGGGAUGAUAAUGACAGUACCUGGUAAAGAAACCCCGGCUAACUCCGUGCCAGCAGCCGCGGUAAUACGGAGGGGGUUAGCGUUGUUCGGAAUUACUGGGCGUAAAGCGCGCGUAGGCGGAUUGGAAAGUUGGGGGUGAAAUCCCGGGGCUCAACCCCGGAACUGCCUCCAAAACUAUCAGUCUAGAGUUCGAGAGAGGUGAGUGGAAUUCCAAGUGUAGAGGUGAAAUUCGUAGAUAUUUGGAGGAACACCAGUGGCGAAGGCGGCUCACUGGCUCGAUACUGACGCUGAGGUGCGAAAGUGUGGGGAGCAAACAGGAUUAGAUACCCUGGUAGUCCACACCGUAAACGAUGAAUGCCAGUCGUCGGGCAGUAUACUGUUCGGUGACACACCUAACGGAUUAAGCAUUCCGCCUGGGGAGUACGGUCGCAAGAUUAAAAC
RNAcentral lists this ribosomal RNA (800 nucleotides) under Sulfitobacter sp. Its description in RNAcentral is "bacterial SSU rRNA". It matches the Rfam family "Bacterial small subunit ribosomal RNA", at positions 52 to 900 of the family's 1533-position model. The record is from RNAcentral. Lineage: Bacteria; Pseudomonadati; Pseudomonadota; Alphaproteobacteria; Rhodobacterales; Roseobacteraceae.